ACCUCAGUUCAGGUGAGAUACCCC
This 24-nucleotide ribosomal RNA is filed under the name Thrips hawaiiensis. Its description in RNAcentral is "partial 28S ribosomal RNA". Lineage: Eukaryota; Metazoa; Arthropoda; Insecta; Thysanoptera; Thripidae. The record is from RNAcentral.